AUGUUACUAUACGAUGUUUUUCAACAGGGACUCCCGAUGAAUGUUGUGCCUGAUUGGAUCGAGACUAAAGGUACCUUGAAUAUUGUUAGCUUACGGCCAAGAUAUCCUACAAUGCACUUUAGUGCAUUCAGGAUUUAUAAUAGCGAGGAAUGCUUAAUAGUAAAAGACUGGAGCAAAAUUGUGAACGGUCACAGAGAAGUACUAGGGGGCAGCAAUCAGAAGCGCAACCCACGAUUAGGAGACAGGUUCAUCUGCAUGCUCCAAUAUGAUGAAUCGGCAAAGCUAUACAUGUUCUAUGCUAUUUUACCUGAGAGAAAGCAGCAGGAAUGA
Molecule: ribosomal RNA, 330 nt
Filed under: Triticum aestivum (bread wheat)
Lineage: Eukaryota; Viridiplantae; Streptophyta; Magnoliopsida; Poales; Poaceae
Description: partial small subunit ribosomal RNA
Source: RNAcentral